This is a non-coding RNA of Chiloscyllium plagiosum (whitespotted bambooshark), 6893 nucleotides long. Lineage: Eukaryota; Metazoa; Chordata; Chondrichthyes; Orectolobiformes; Hemiscylliidae. The record is from RefSeq and is a predicted model, not a curated record.
UACUUAUAUGUUUUGCAUUGCAAAGCAUUUUACAAACAUUGAAAUACUUUUGAAGUAUAGUUACUGUUUUAGAAAACAGCAGCCAAUGUGUGGGCAGCAAGUUCCUCGAGAAUGGCAAUAAUGAGCAGAUAUCUAUUUUAGUGAUUUUAAUUGAGGUAUAGACGUUGCCAGCACAACAUGGAUAAUCCUCCUUCAAAUUAAUUCCAUGGGAUAAAACAGAAGGAUUUUUUCUAAAUGGUAACCAUGUCACAAUGCCAACCAACCAGCUUUAUCCGACAUACAAUAGGAAAUGCAAAACAAAACAAAACCGGAAGCACACGAAGAAAUGCCCAAGUAGGUGAGGAUAAAUUAGAGUUUAUUUAUCAGCUCUGGGGCCUGCAGUCAAAAUCCGAAAAUGAGAGCCAGAAAACACUUGAGAGUUUUCUCCGUUACGAACAUCAUCAAGUUUUUCCCAAAUCUUUCCUCAUAGCAAAUCACGAGUGCAACUGAACGAACCGCAGCUUUGCAUUUUAUUCUUCCACAUAAUCUCUGAAGUUUGGUCAGUGAAAAAUGUUUGAGCCAAUACAGUGUAGGUAGUCCUGCUAGAAACGAAAACGAGACUGAAAACUCUAUCUUGUGGAAGUUCACAUCAACUCUUCAGAUUGAACUCUUGUUCAAAUCACCUGAGAACAAGCAGACGACAGUGGGAACUCAGUGAUGCGUGAAAUGACCAGGCCAUUUCGCUGCAGAUGCAGAUCGACAUAUAUUCUAAUCUGAUGUUAUACUUUCGCAUUAAAUUGUAUUUUUACCAAUCCCACCCCCCAACCCCGCCGUUUUGUUCAUGUAUGACGUGCAUUUAGUUAAUCAAAUCAACCUGUCUUUUUUCUAAUACGUUUUAUGUUAAAGUGGAAUACUGAUCUUCAAGGUAUGCGGUGUAAAAUUAUUAUGCUAUACGAUAAUACUGUUAAUCUACUGGUCAUGAAAUUGUUCGAGUUAAAACUCUAUAAUUGCCCCGUUAUCGGAUAUACAGUCUUAUUCCCGCAUCUAGUUUUUGUCUUGCAAAUGGACUACUAAGAGAUUUGAGUGAGUAGAUUUGUAAGCUUGAUGGAUACUAGUACUGAAAUCAGAGCCAUUUGACGACAUUUCAGAUCGAUUUUCCAUGUAAUAUUUAUAUUUUAAACAUCCUAGUUGCAGAGGUCAGAUAAACGGAUGCUCCCGAAACAAAUUCCAGAUUCUGUUAUCUGCAUCGUUACGAAAAGCUGGUCGCAUUCAGGAAGAAACGGUAGCUACCUCAUACGACAGCGAAAGGUAGUGAAGAACACUUCUCACUCCAACAUUCCGCACCAAAGUUGCGUGAAAAAGAAUGCUUUCACCCCGGCCAACAAAAGUUGUGCUGAUUGUCAUCACUAGUGACGAGAUCCGUCAACAUUUCAAUAAUAUCCCGGUAAUUCGAUCGUCCCACAGGCUCUCAAAAUAAAGCGCCAUUUCAGUUAACACUUUAAACAACCCCAAAUUGCAUCCUUUGUAAAUUACACCCUGAAAUUGCACCUCACCGGAGCAGCCACAUCGAAAUGUACAACACAAGCAUACAUCAUUCAUGCGGCGGAACAGAUGCAGAUGUAUAAAUUCUCCGGACGGUGAAACGUAUGCAAAUCCUUUCAAGCCCUAUUUUGAAAUAACCUGAAAAUUCGUAAUCACAGUGUUAAACUGGUGCGGCAAGGAACUCUGGAAAGGAAAUUUUAAGACACAAUUAUCAAAUCCCUAUGUAGCCAUGAAGUGAUCUUUUGUUUUAACUCCUGAACUAUUUUUAAGCGAACUGUGAUUUCCACCAUGUCCAGUUUGCUGUAUGAACAAGAUUGAUUUAAUUGGAGAACACAAUUUGAUCAGCUACAAUAAAUUGCAAAGUGAUUGAAAUGUUUCGAUUCCCAGCUGUUGCAGUCCGCGCUCUGCUCUUCAUUUCUCGCGAGUUACCUGUCCUCAGUGAGCUGCACAUAAACCCUAGCAUGACACGGUUGAUUUACAGUAAGUGAACAUUUAAUCUCCUCCUUCGCUAUCCAGAAUCUGAAACCGAAACUGCUUCCCACACAGCCCUGCAUUUUGGACCCAGGCAGUGACGACGGGGAGAUGUAUCAAUGGUACAGUAUGGUAAAUGGAGGUCGGAAAAUGAUUGUGUUGCAGCCCAUUAAUUGAUUUAUUGCUAAUUUGUUGCCCAUUGGAGUUGAAUAGACUAUUUCAAGAUAAUAUCUGUGCUAAUAUUAAACCUUUCGUCUUUAAUAAGAGUGGACCCCGACUUGAUGGUUCUGAUGGAGAACAAAUGUAUUUAAAUCACAACCGGAUCUGUCAGUGUGCGCUCUUUGAGCAUCCUGAUACACUCGGUGGAGACCUUCCGAGAACUUAAAAGUUUCCAAUGAACAUGCGACCGUUCUUAACUGUAGAAAACAGUUCUGAAAGUAUCCGGCACUUUUAUCAUUAACUUCAGGCAUUUUCCCCUUGCGGCAAUAUUAAUAGAAGUAUAUUUCUCCCGGAAGCUUCAUGUCCUAUCAUUUGGGUAUUACAAGUGACAUCCAUGCUCAAUAAAUUGCAACUUGCUAUUUUUAAUCCUUAACAAAUCGGUGCUAUGUAUUGGCCGGGCCCACUUAAAAAAAAUAGCACGACUCAACAAAACAUAUAAAAAAGUGACUUACAAAGUAAAACUAGGCGAGUUUUUGGAAGUAAAUGCUGAAGGUUUAGUUUUACUGUACAAAUCAAAGUGGAAAGAAAUGUGCAUUCAAAAAUGAGUGGAUGUAUCUGUGAAAAUUAAUCUGCUUCUCGCAUCGCCUGGGCAAAAGUUGUCGGCUUUCUCUCCGUAUGACUUGAGUAAGCAAAACAUUGUCAUUUUAGGAAAAAAAGGGGGUAUUUUCCACUGACUGGUCCACCCCCCCCCCCCCCCCCCCCCGUUAAAUGGGCGUUCCUGAGAAGAUGAAACUUGGCCACGUUAGGAAGUAGCGGCCGAGAUUUGUUUUUGCAACGCAGCUUCGCUGUAACACCAGCAGCUGCACAAUGCGCCCAUUGGAGCCUUACCGGGGGGGGGGGGAUAAAAACCCACCUUGCGCUACCGCCACUGAAGCGAAACACUUUAUGUAACAUGUUGCGCGGUGGAAUAUUAUUUUGCAAAUAUUUUCGUUUCCCUUCCACUGCAGGUUUUUGAAGCCGGCGGAUUUUACACAUAUCAGAAAUCGAAAAGCAACAACGGUCUUAAAACCGAGUUUUUUUUUUGUUUUUCAAGUACAGUUUAUUGAUGAGGAUGUGGGCUGAGGAGAGACUAAAAUCAAAUGAAAAGUCUCCUGAACUGAAUGCACGCCAAGUUUUGGUGUUGCGACAUUGGUCCUGUGAUACAUUUUCCAAGCAAAUCCCGCUUCACACCGAGGCUGGGAUUUGGGGGCAUCUUGGAUGCCCACGCGGUGUAUUAUAGAUCAUAUUGCUACUUUAUUCAGAGGUUGGAGGUGCUGUCUUCCGUGACGGGGGACAGUCACGGUUCGGGCCUCAGAGGUCGUGCUAACUCGUUUCCCAGACAAGAAACGCCCUCCGCCACACAGUCAAGCCUCAUUUAUCAAACAAGUGGCUGUUCCCGAGAUUGUUAACCAGCAGUGACUGGCGAAAGGCAUUGCUAAAACAGAAAGCAGUUCGUGCUAAGUGCAUGGGUUACUGGAACUGAUGAGAUCACAGUCCGCCAAUGUAGCGAUGUCAAAUGCGUUUUGAAGUUUUCCCAAAUCUAACUACAGCAACCCAACAAAGAGUUUUGUAGCGCCCUUCGCGACUCAAGACGUCAAGAAUAUUUAAACCCAAUACAACACCUUCUUGAAGCGUAAUCACUUGCAAUGUAAUAGCAGUUAGCAGGAGGACAAUGCACGCUGGUGCAUUUAAACUACAAACAAUACCCAUUCCCUUCCUAGCACAGGAACAAACCGUACAGCAGGCGGCAGAAUCACGAAACAUGUUUUCCUAUAUUGGAACGAAUCGAUGGUAGAUGCAGAAUUCAGCAAAAAAAAAAUGAAUGCACAUUAAGCAAAUAUGCUAUUUUUAAUGACCUAUCAGCAUCCAAGUAAAAUUACAGGAAAUUACUUUGGCUACCUGCUGGGAGAUUUAUAGGUGUUUCAUUACCUUGCUAAAUUAGUCACCAUUUUAUUAUUGUUAUGAUUUAAUGAAUGCAAUUUUACAGUGGUUUGUGGCUGUUAUGUGCUUUCCCUGUUUCCAGCUGCAGCGGCAAUCUCAAAUUAUUUAGACUAUUUUCUUAAAGACAUCAGUUAUCAUUUAAAUGUUAAUGUGACUUUUCCCCAGGUACUAGCAGGGAUUCUUUCCUGGAAGUUACACGCCAAGCGAAAAAGCGAUAUUUAUUGAAAUCUAUAAAGAUAUAACUGACACUCAGUUGUUUAAAAAAAAGCGUGGAAAUGAUCCAUUGAAAUCCGAGCGGUUUGACUCGAACGGGAUCAUUUACUCAAGUGAAAUUAUCUCCCGUGGUCAAUCAUGGCGGCUGGUACAGGUCAGAAGGCAAAAUGCAGCAUUCACUAAGCUUGUCAACACAUAUAUCUGAACAGUGCUUGUUAGAUCUUCAAUUCGGGCACAAAAGGGAACGAUGCUUUCGGAAGAGCUGAUGGAAUUGUCACUUAGUAAUGUUGGUGAAAAAUCUGAGUAAAACGGCGGGCUAAUUAAUGACUGUUGUGGAGUCGUCAGAACUAUUUACUUUAUUGUAAGGUCAAUGCAAAUUUUCUACAGCCCUGCCAUCAUAGCAUAAUUAUUGAUAAAACGAAUAAUAGUGUCCUCAUGGAAACGUCUCCGGAUAUGCUAGGGUUGGUUAGUGCUCGCCUGUGGUAUCGUGUCUAUAAAUACAACAAAAUAAAUACAACUGCAUUUCUAUUGUCAGAAGGUGUGUAGCUUCUCGUUCUAAUAGAGAAGUAUUCGUAUUAUAACAAGCAGACAGGCGCAAAGAAGCACAUUAUCCCAGAGUCUGGCCAAACGACAAGGGAUGCCAUUCAGUGCUUCUACUGAAAUAAUUCGAAAAUAUUCUAAAUAGUUUCAAAUCAAUCCUCAGGUGUCAAUCGAAGAAGUACCGUGGGUUACCUGACGAGCAUUUAUUAUUGAAUUAACUUACGAUUCAAUAAAAGUAGAGCAAGCUCCGAAAAUGCCAUGGCCACAACUACACGUGGUUGGAAACUCCCCACUCCGAGUUGUAGUCGCGAGGAAAAAUGAAAAUGGAUUCACACAACUCGAAAUAUAUUGUAUUCGUGAAAUGUUUUUGGUUAUAAGCACAAACUUGUCUUCAUUGUACACCGGUAUAGGUUGACGUUCUGUUGAAUGAAGCCAUUUCGUGGAUUAAAAAUAUACUACCAAUAAAUUAACGUGAAAAUUGAAUAUUUCCCCUGAUAUUUUUACCGCUGUUACUCAAAUCUGAAAUGCCCGUACAAAGUUGAAUAAACCCUCUGUUUAGAAUAUUCCUGGCAAUUUAUAAUGGGAACGGAGAACAUUUGGAGCCUCGAGCUAAAUACAAUGUGGGGUUUUGAUAGAGUCAAUAAGGAGAAAUUGUUUCUACUGGCAGGAGGGUCGGUAACCUGAGGAUACACGUUUAGGAUAAUUGGCAAAAGAACCAGAGGGGAGAGGAGGAGAAAUGUGUUUCUGCAGCGAGUUGUUCUGUUCUGGAAUGUACGAUCUGAAAAAGGCGGUGGAAGCAGGUUCAAUAAUAGCAUUCAAAAUGUAAUUUAAUAUUUGAAACCAUAUGCACGAUCGUGGGGAAAAGGGAGUAGGUCUAAUUGGUUGGCCUUUUCAAAAAAGAUGGGUCAAAGAUGGCUCCUUCUGCAUUGUAUGAUUCUAGUCAAAAGUACACCUCAAAAUUAGUGAUAAUGAUGGUCGCACCCGGGGCGCUCAGUAUUGUUCCUGGAGCAUAUGUUUCUGCAUGACUGGAAAUUGCUGCAGAGCCAUUGAGGGUUAUGUGCACGCCUGCACUCAGUGUGCAGCCUUGUAAUAACAAUGUCUGGCAAUCGUUGUUCACGAGAAGUGGAAUGCAUUGAAUUAUGCAAAUUUUACCACGUUCCUGCUGACUACGGUCAACCACAGAAGGGAUCUUUUGCUACCCCGACCCUCCCCACGACGUCUUGAUGAAGAGGAUGAGCAGAAGAACGUAAGUGCUGCCAAAGAUAAAGCACACAGACUUCCACGUGGUUUAACAUUUCAGGAUCGAGCAACGUCACUCUGUUUCGACCCCUUAAUAUUUUAAUAAAGAGACCUCACGCCAUCUAUGAGGCUCCCACAAAAAAGGCAAGUGAGAAACAAUAAUAUGCCGAAAACAAAAUGUUGAUCUAAUGUUUUCAACCACGCCACGACUUGAAUUCAAACUGGAACUGAGGAAAAAGCCUCAAGCUCUACGCUUGCUUGGGACUUGAUCUGAGGGAGGAGGUGGCGACUCCUCAUGGCCAAUGCUAAAGAACCUAGAUUUUGUGGGCUAGGAUGUGGUCCAGUCUUUUGGACACCGCCAGCCCAGACAUAUGCACUUCUUUUUCCUCCUUUCUAACCUCCCAGAGGUGAUGAUUUCUUCCUCAGUGCCAGUUGUCCCCACUGGACCCCCAACCUUACUGGGUAUCUCAUCUGAUUCCCCCACACUGCACUCUCUCUGCUCUUUGUGUUUACUACAGGAAAGUCUGCUAACACAGUAUAUCAGUCAUCACACCUAUAGGCCAAAGGUCAGAUACUUGGCAAUGGCUGAAGAUCACAUCUUCCUGAGACUGGGCAAGGAUGGCAUCACUUGCAGCCACCAAGGUAACCACAACCUUCAAUAUUUCCCUCACUCCUUUGCCUCCAUUUAUUUACUAAUUGCUUUCUGGAAUGGGCACUGGAAGAUCUGAAUAUCUGGCCUGGAUGAACUUAAUGCUAUCUAUUGUACUGAA